AUGCAGUUCUUUAUCUCUUUCAUAAUGCGUCUCUGGUGUCAGACUAAACCUGGAGCUUUUUUUUUUUUUUUUUUUUUUUUUUUUUUUUUUUUUUUUUUUUUUUUUUUUUUUUUUUUUUUUUUUUUUUUUUUUUUUUUUUUUUUUUUUUUUUUUUUUUUUUUUUUUUUUUUUUUUUUUUUUUUUUUUUUUUUUUUUUUUUUUUUUUUUUUUUUUUUUUUUUUUUUUUUUUUUUUUUUUUUUUUUUUUUUUUUUUUUUUUUUUUUUUUUUUUUUUUUUUUUUUUUUUUUUUUUUUUUUUUUUUUUUUUUUUUUUUUUUUUUUUUUUUUUUUUUUUUUUUUUUUUUUUUUUUUUUUUUUUUUUUUUUUUUUUUUUUUUUUUUUUUUUUUUUUUUUUUUUUUUUUUUUUUUUUUUUUUUUUUUUUUUUUUUUUUUUUUUUUUUUUUUUUUUUUUUUUUUUUUUUUUUUUUUUUUUUUUUUUUUUUUUUUUUUUUUUUUUUUUUUUUUUUUUUUUUUUUUUUUUUUUUUUUUUUUUUUUUUUUUUUUUUUUUUUUUUUUUUUUUUUUUUUUUUUUUUUUUUUUUUUUUUUUUUUUUUUUUUUUUUUUUUUUUUUUUUUUUUUUUUUUUUUUUUUUUUUUUUUUUUUUUUUUUUUUUUUUUUUUUUUUUUUUUUUUUUUUUUUUUUUUUUUUUUUUUUUUUUUUUUUUUUUUUUUUUUUUUUUUUUUUUUUUUUUUUUUUUUUUUUUUUUUUUUUUUUUUUUUUUUUUUUUUUUUUUUUUUUUUUUUUUUUUUUUUUUUUUUUUUUUUUUUUUUUUUUUUUUUUUUUUUUUUUUUUUUUUUUUUUUUUUUUUUUUUUUUUUUUUUUUUUUUUUUUUUUUUUUUUUUUUUUUUUUUUUUUUUUUUUUUUUUUUUUUUUUUUUUUUUUUUUUUUUUUUUUUUUUUUUUUUUUUUUUUUUUUUUUUUUUUUUUUUUUUUUUUUUUUUUUUUUUUUUUUUUUUUUUUUUUUUUUUUUUUUUUUUUUUUUUUUUUUUUUUUUUUUUUUUUUUUUUUUUUUUUUUUUUUUUUUUUUUUUUUUUUUUUUUUUUUUUUUUUUUUUUUUUUUUUUUUUUUUUUUUUUUUUUUUUUUUUUUUUUUUUUUUUUUUUUUUUUUUUUUUUUUUUUUUUUUUUUUUUUUUUUUUUUUUUUUUUUUUUUUUUUUUUUUUUUUUUUUUUUUUUUUUUUUUUUUUUUUUUUUUUUUUUUUUUUUUUUUUUUUUUUUUUUUUUUUUUUUUUUUUUUUUUUUUUUUUUUUUUUUUUUUUUUUUUUUUUUUUUUUUUUUUUUUUUUUUUUUUUUUUUUUUUUUUUUUUUUUUUUUUUUUUUUUUUUUUUUUUUUUUUUUUUUUUUUUUUUUUUUUUUUUUUUUUUUUUUUUUUUUUUUUUUUUUUUUUUUUUUUUUUUUUUUUUUUUUUUUUUUUUUUUUUUUUUUUUUUUUUUUUUUUUUUUUUUUUUUUUUUUUUUUUUUUUUUUUUUUUUUUUUUUUUUUUUUUUUUUUUUUUUUUUUUUUUUUUUUUUUUUUUUUUUUUUUUUUUUUUUUUUUUUUUUUUUUUUUUUUUUUUUUUUUUUUUUUUUUUUUUUUUUUUUUUUUUUUUUUUUUUUUUUUUUUUUUUUUUUUUUUUUUUUUUUUUUUUUUUUUUUUUUUUUUUUUUUUUUUUUUUUUUUUUUUUUUUUUUUUUUUUUUUUUUUUUUUUUUUUUUUUUUUUUUUUUUUUUUUUUUUUUUUUUUUUUUUUUUUUUUUUUUUUUUUUUUUUUUUUUUUUUUUUUUUUUUUUUUUUUUUUUUUUUUUUUUUUUUUUUUUUUUUUUUUUUUUUUUUUUUUUUUUUUUUUUUUUUUUUUUUUUUUUUUUUUUUUUUUUUUUUUUUUUUUUUUUUUUUUUUUUUUUUUUUUUUUUAAUAAUUGGUGCUGGGACAAUUGGGCAGUAUCUGGAAAAAAUUCUAGAAGGAUAA
Molecule: long non-coding RNA, 1977 nt
Organism: Bos grunniens (domestic yak)
Lineage: Eukaryota; Metazoa; Chordata; Mammalia; Artiodactyla; Bovidae
Source: Ensembl